Long non-coding RNA from Gallus gallus (chicken), 2035 nucleotides. The record is from Ensembl. Lineage: Eukaryota; Metazoa; Chordata; Aves; Galliformes; Phasianidae.
ACAGAGGGUUUGCAGUUCUGCCUUCUGAGUCACCAGGAGUUUCAUGACAGUGGCCAUGAGGAGCAAGAGUUGCUUGCCAGCUCCUUCUCUUUGAAGGCUGGCCAUUAUGUUCCAGUGUCACAGCUUGAGGCAGUGUGUGGAUGUGACUUCCUGCCUGACUCUGGAUGAGCUGGGAUGUGCAGUACGUACAAGGUGCUUAUCUUCAGAUGCCUUAAAGUGGGAAGGACGUCGACACCUGAAAUUCAGCAAGACUGUAAGGGCUCUUCCUCCUCCAGCCGAAGCCCGGCAAUUCAGAAGUCCGUGUUCGGAAGGACUCCUCAGCUAUUCUCUUUGAUCCGGCAGCCAGGAGAGGGAGCUCGGCAUCCUACUCCCAGGCUCCACUCGCCCAACAUCACUGAAGACAAUGUUGAUGAUUCUUUUGUUCAACAAAUAAAAGAAGUGGUUCCCACGAGGGAGCCGUGUUGGCAGCUGCUUUAUGCGGGCUUAGGGGAAUUGCGGAUAAUCGAUGCUUGCCAAAGGCAAAAUGGACAGCACCAGUGGAAGAAAACAAAACUAACUCUCAGGCUGCUAAGAGAUUAUUGCAUGCAGAGGGACCCGUUUUGGAAGUCUGGAGUGUCUUCAGUCCGCACAGCCACCAAUGGGAGCAUCAAGCACUCAGGACCAGUGGAAGGGCAUGAGGCUCAACUUGGCACCUUGGACUUCCAUCACCAAAAGCCUGAGGAAAGUCCUCUUGGUAAAACCCUGGGUUCUCUCCAGGAGCAGUGGGCACUCACAGUCCUACUUGAGCUCAGCGAGGGCAACUGGAUAUUCAGUGAUUUUUAUAUUUCAGUGUUGAAGCAUGAGGACAGUCACCUAGCUUUUGGUGUCAGGAAGUUGAACGUUCAAAGCAUCAGAAUGGAAACAGAUUCCCAAAUGUACUGAAUGUUGGUGGAAAGAAAGCACUUUAUAAACGGAUAAUUAUUCAGUGCCAGUCUGCCAGGACUUCAGUAGGAUUUCGAGUGAGACAUUUCUAUAGAUAAAAGUAAUUUUUAAGAAGAGUUCCAUACUCUUAGCACAAAACUUUCUGAGUUUAGUGAUGCCAUUUUAACUGGUUCUGGCUAUUAAUAGUGCUGUGAUUCCUGGGUUUGUUGGAAAUGUGAUCCCCACAUCCAGAGAUGCUGGCUCACCAGCUGUCAUUGGUCCUGGGGGUAUCCUUUCCUGAUGUAGUCUUGGUUCUGUUUCUCCUGUAAAUGUCUGUAUUUGUAUACACUGAUCCCUAGUGAUGGAUUUCUUCAUGGACUGUGUUCCAUCAGCCAUUCCCAGAGCUGCUGUAACAGCACAAAUACACAUUCCAGACACAUUUUCAUCCAAAUCUAGUGUGGGUGAGGACAGAGCCUGGGACAGCCAGCCUAAUCCUGACAGAUAAUUUUUCCCUGGGGCUAGGGUGAAGAAAAGUUAUUCUGAGAGUGCCAGAUGGGCUAUGGAAACAUCCUAACAAUACCUGUAAUUAACAUAUCCAGUGCUCCUUCACCUAAGAGCUUUCAGGAUGACUCACACACCCACCCUACAGAUCCCUGCAGGGUCAGGUGCUGCCUAAGCUGAAUGAGAAAAAGGAUGCAGGCACCCUCAUUGGAGACAGCUCAGAGCAGAGCUGCAGUGACUAGGGAUGUUAGCUCUGUUUUUAGCUGAGCCAAUCUCCUUUCUCUCCACGAAAGCUCAGUGCAGGGAGAGAAUGUUAUCCAUUAACCUUCCAGUAUGCAGAACCUAGUGUUGUCACCCGGCUCCUGGUGAGUGGUGUCAGACAUGGCUGGCGUUCCUCCAUCGAUAUCUUCAAUUACAGUGGCACUUCAGCCAUUCCUAAGAGCAUUUGCCAUUUACACAGUGGAUUUCUCUACCUGUGUGGAUCUCACUGGCACGAAAAAUGAGCAUGUUUUCUGAAUAUACCCUCAUCUUGGAGAAGAAGCAAUGCCAGAAAGACCAAGAAGCCAGAAUUCUGCAUCUUGCAGGCAAUUCAGAUGAUUUGCACAGUCCUCAUCAUUAAGUUCAUACAGCAAAG